AACGAACGCUGGCGGCAGGCUUAACACAUGCAAGUCGAGCGCACCGCAAGGUGAGCGGCAGACGGGUGAGUACCGCGUGGGAAUCUACCCAACCCUACGGAAUAACCCAGGGACACUUGGACUAAUACCGUAUACGCCCUUUUGGGGAAAGAUUUAUCGGGGAUGGAUGAGCCCGCGUUGGAUUAGCUAGUUGGUGGGGUAAAGGCCUACCAAGGCGACGAUCCAUAGCUGGUCUGAGAGGAUGAUCAGCCACAUUGGGACUGAGACACGGCCCAAACUCCUACGGGAGGCAGCAGUGGGGAAUAUUGGACAAUGGGCGCAAGCCUGAUCCAGCCAUGCCGCGUGAGUGAUGAAGGCCUUAGGGUUGUAAAGCUCUUUCAGUAGGGAAGAUAAUGACGGUACCUACAGAAGAAGCCCCGGCUAACUUCGUG
This 431-nucleotide ribosomal RNA is filed under the name uncultured bacterium. Its description in RNAcentral is "partial 16S ribosomal RNA". It matches the Rfam family "Bacterial small subunit ribosomal RNA", at positions 29 to 507 of the family's 1533-position model. The record is from RNAcentral.